Molecule: ribosomal RNA, 503 nt
Filed under: uncultured bacterium
Lineage: Bacteria
Description: partial 16S ribosomal RNA
Rfam family: Bacterial small subunit ribosomal RNA
Source: RNAcentral
GAUGAACGCUAGCGACAGGCCUAACACAUGCAAGUCGAGGGGCAGCACAUGAGUAGCAAUACGAUGGUGGCGACCGGCGCACGGGUGAGUAACACGUAUGCAACCUACCGGUAAAAGGGGGAUAGCCUCUCGAAAGAGAGAUUAAUACCGCAUAAUAUCUCUGGAUGGCAUCAUUUAGAGAUUAAACAUUUAUGGUUUACCGAUGGGCAUGCGUAUGAUUAGCUAGUAAGUGAGGUAACGGCUCACCUAGGCAACGAUCAUUAGGGGUUCUGAGAGGAAGGUCCCCCACACUGGUACUGAGACACGGACCAGACUCCUACGGGAGGCAGCAGUGAGGAAUAUUGGUCAAUGGGCGAGAGCCUGAACCAGCCAAGUCGCGUGAAGGAUGAAGGUUCUAUGGAUUGUAAACUUCUUUUGUAAGGGAAUAAAAAGAGCUACGUGUAGUUUAUUGUAUGUACUUUACGAAUAAGGAUCGGCUAACUCCGUGCCAGCAGCCGCCGUAA